This 274-nucleotide ribosomal RNA is filed under the name Inosperma quietiodor. RNAcentral describes it as "partial large subunit ribosomal RNA". The record is from RNAcentral. Lineage: Eukaryota; Fungi; Basidiomycota; Agaricomycetes; Agaricales; Inocybaceae.
ACGCUUGAAGUCAGUCGCGUCGGUCGGAAAUCAACCUUGCUUCUGCUGGGUGUACUUUCCGUCCGACGGGUCAGCAUCAGUUUCGGUCGCUGGAUAAAGUUCUUGGGAACGUGGCAUCCUCGGAUGUGUUAUAGCCCUUUGACACACGCAGCGGCUGGGAUUGAGGAAUUCAGCACGCCCGCAAGGGCUGGGGACUCGUCCCACAACCAUAGGUGCUUAGGAUGCUGGCGUAAUGGCUUUAAUCGACCCGUCUUGAAACACGGACCAAGGAGUC